RNAcentral lists this ribosomal RNA (495 nucleotides) under uncultured bacterium. RNAcentral describes it as "partial 16S ribosomal RNA". It matches the Rfam family "Bacterial small subunit ribosomal RNA", at positions 28 to 505 of the family's 1533-position model. The record is from RNAcentral.
GAUGAACGCUGGCGGCGUGCCUAAUACAUGCAAGUCGAGCGAACAGACGAGGAGCUUGCUCCUCUGACGUUAGCGGCGGACGGGUGAGUAACACGUGGAUAACCUACCUAUAAGACUGGGAUAACUUCGGGAAACCGGAGCUAAUACCGGAUAAUAUAUUGAACCGCAUGGUUCAAUAGUGAAAGACGGUUUUGCUGUCACUUAUAGAUGGAUCCGCGCCGCAUUAGCUAGUUGGUAAGGUAACGGCUUACCAAGGCAACGAUGCGUAGCCGACCUGAGAGGGUGAUCGGCCACACUGGAACUGAGACACGGUCCAGACUCCUACGGGAGGCAGCAGUAGAGAAUCUUCCGCAAUGGGCGAAAGCCUGACGGAGCAACGCCGCGUGAGUGAUGAAGGUCUUCGGAUCGUAAAACUCUGUUAUUAGGGAAGAACAAAUGUGUAAGUAACUAUGCACGUCUUGACGGUACCUAAUCAGAAAGCCACGGCUAACUACG